CGCCUGUUUAUCAAAAACAUAGCUAUAAGCAUUUAUUUAUAGUUAUACCUGCCCAAUGUAUAAUUUUUAUAAAUGGCCGCGGUAUCCUGACCGUGCUAAGGUAGCGUAAUAAGUUGGCUUUUAAAUGGAGUCAGGUAUGAAUGGAUAAACCGGGUUUAGCUGUCUCAUUUAUAUUUUAUUGAAUUUACUGUGCAAGUGAAAAAGCUUGUUUUAUAUAAGGGGACGAGAAGACCCUUAAAAUUUUGAUUUAAAGUCAUUACUUAUUACUAUGAUUUUGUUGGGGCGACAUAGAAAUAAUUAAAACUUUCUAUAUAAUAUAAGCCGGAAUUAUCAAGGUAGAAUAAAUUACUUAAGGGAUAACAGCAUAAUUCUAAAAUUGAGUUUGUGACCUCGAUGUUGGACUAGGAAGCUGGCAGGUUAGAUGCUUGCUGUGGGGAUUCUGUUCGAAUUUUAACUCCUACGUGAUCUGAGUUCAGACCGG
This 481-nucleotide ribosomal RNA is filed under the name Tenellia sp. YGC-2018. Its description in RNAcentral is "partial 16S ribosomal RNA". It matches the Rfam family "Bacterial large subunit ribosomal RNA", at positions 1797 to 2619 of the family's 2925-position model. The record is from RNAcentral. Lineage: Eukaryota; Metazoa; Mollusca; Gastropoda; Nudibranchia; Trinchesiidae.